AUGCACAGCAAGCGGCAGACAAUCACCCGGCAUUCGGCAUCUCUUUCUUUUCACGCGCUCCCUCGCUCCGCCUUUCUCCAGCUCUGCCUUCUCAGGCAGAUACAUCAGAUACCUUGUUUAUCCAUCUUCAGCUCCACUCUGAGGGCGCAGACGCACGAUUCCGGGAUCGGGUGCACCACGGCGAAGCCCAGGCGGGAGACGGCAGGAGCAGCUCAGAUGAAGAAACUGAAACCCACAGAGAUGAAGUAACAUCCUCAAGAUCAAAAGGUAACAAACGAUUGAGGCAGGAUUUGGAUAUUGCUCUACAUGACGGGAAAGCCUGUGCUCUUGGAAUUACAGUCAUAGUACAACAGAUCAAGUUCAAAGCAUCAUCUAAGUCAAGGAAAACCAGUAAAGAGGUUUGGAGAGACAAACAGGGUCAACUCCAGGCAUUUGGGUCAGCAGAAACGGCACGAUUGAGCAGCACUGUGACUAUAGGAUCAUGGAUCAGAGGCUGCUUCCUCUUUGGUUCUGGGCAUCAGCCUCAUGUCCACUCAAAGUAAGUGGCCCCUCUGAUUGGAAUCGGAGGUGCCUGGGUCAUCUCACAGAGCCAAACAAAUACAAUUAGCUAUUGCAAAGCCUUUUGGGAAUUAUUCCCAGUGUAAAUAAACACAUAACCAUAUAGCAAGAGCCUUGAUAAAGUCCAAAAACAUGCAAACUUGGAGUAUCUAAGAGAAAAGACCACAAUGUAAAUGAAAAACCAAAUAAACUCGGGCAAACCAUAGGAUAGGGCCCUGUCUGUGAUGGCCUGCAUAUGAUGAGCCAUAGAAAAAGGAUGGUGAAUUCUGGAUAAUAAGAAAUGUCAAUGAGAUGCAAGAACCACCUGUUUUAUGUAAAGCUCCAAAUAACCAGAUCACAGUGGACAGCCACUCAAAUAAUGCCUUCAUAAUACAGAGUAUUAUUGAGAAUAACUCAGUUCACAGAGAGCUUAAGGCAGCCAAUAUUUGAUAGCCUGUCAGAAAAAAACAGAACAGUAAUUAUAGAAAAGAAUCAUAUCCUCGGAAAAACAAAAAUUAAUCAAACUAAGUUUGUAAAGUCUAUCUUACAGACACAUUGUCUGGACUGGUCCUCUCAAAAAUACUGUUUUUUUUUAAUGCCAAUUUGUUUAGUUAAUGAUUUUUGUCUUAUUACUUCAAAACUGGAAAUAUCCUAUGACUCAUAAUAUCUUACAACCUUUCUACUUUCUUAAAGAAUCUCAAGUUUAUAAUCACAGGGGAUCGGAUUAUUUUUCAAAAAUUAAAUGGUGAUGUAAUGAUUUCUGUGUCUAUUGUAGAAAAGUCAACCUUAUUACAGCUGCAACAAUGGCAUUAAGAAAUAUGAGUAAUUCCAAUCAACUUGAGAUAAUGUCUAAUCAAACACAAAUACAACUGGUAAAUUUCAUUAAAUAGCAUGGAGAUUAAAUUAAAACACUAUUAUGUAAUAAAAACCUUUAGUGGUACUAAAAUUUUAGAAUAGUUCAGAUAUACAGAAAAAUUUCAAAGAUACACAGAGUUCCCAUUUUUUUCCUAUUACUAACCUCUCAUAUUUGUCACAACUAAUGAAUAUUCAAUAGAGUAUUAUUAACUAAAGCCUAUACAUUUAUUUAGAUUUCCUUAGUUUUUAGCUAACAUUCUUUUUCUUUGUUCCAGGAUCCCAUCCGGGCCACCACAUUGAAUUUAUUUGUCAUUUUAGGUACCUCUUGGCUGUGAGUUUCUUAGACUUUCCUUGUUUUUGGUGACCCUGACAGUUUGAGGGAGUACUAGUCAGUCAGUUAUUUUUGCAGAAUGCCCUAAAUUUGAGUUUGGCUGAUGUUUUUCUUAGGGUUUGACUGGGGUUAUGGGUUUUGGGGAGGAAGACCACAGAGGUGAAGUACCAUUCUCACCAAAUUAUAUUAAAGGUACAUACCAUCAG
RNAcentral lists this long non-coding RNA (1929 nucleotides) under Homo sapiens (human). Its description in RNAcentral is "non-protein coding NBAT1:12". Lineage: Eukaryota; Metazoa; Chordata; Mammalia; Primates; Hominidae. The record is from RNAcentral.